This 498-nucleotide ribosomal RNA is filed under the name uncultured bacterium. RNAcentral describes it as "partial 16S ribosomal RNA". It matches the Rfam family "Bacterial small subunit ribosomal RNA", at positions 30 to 523 of the family's 1533-position model. The record is from RNAcentral.
AUUGAACGCUGGCGGAAUGCUUUACACAUGCAAGUCGAACGGCAGCACGGACAUCGGUCUGGUGGCGAGUGGCGAACGGGUGAGUAAUGUAUCGGAACGUGCCCAGUCGUGGGGGAUAACGUAGUGAAAAUUACGCUAAUACCGCAUACGAUCUAUGGAUGAAAGCGGGGGAUCGCAAGACCUCGCCCGGUUGGAGCGGCCGAUAUCAGAUUAGGUAGUUGGUGGGGUAAAGGCCCACCAAGCCAACGAUCUGUAGCUGGUCUGAGAGGACGACCAGCCACACUGGAACUGAGACACGGUCCAGACUCCUACGGGAGGCAGCAGUGGGGAAUUUUGGACAAUGGGCGAAAGCCUGAUCCAGCCAUUCCGCGUGCAGGAUGAAGGCCCUCGGGUUGUAAACUGCCUUUGUACAACGAAAAGGUUUCUACUAAUACUAGGAGCUCAUGACGGUACUGUAAGAAUAAGCACCGGCUAACUACGUGCCAGCCGCCGCGGUAA